RNAcentral lists this transfer RNA (77 nucleotides) under Alphaproteobacteria bacterium. Its description in RNAcentral is "tRNA-Pro". It matches the Rfam family "tRNA". From Rfam's summary of the family: Transfer RNA (tRNA) molecules are approximately 80 nucleotides in length. Their secondary structure includes four short double-helical elements and three loops (D, anti-codon, and T loops). Further hydrogen bonds mediate the characteristic L-shaped molecular structure. tRNAs have two regions of fundamental functional importance: the anti-codon, which is responsible for specific mRNA codon recognition, and the 3' end, to which the tRNAs corresponding amino acid is attached (by aminoacyl-tRNA synthetases). tRNAs cope with the degeneracy of the genetic code in two manners: having more than one tRNA (with a specific anti-codon) for a particular amino acid; and 'wobble' base-pairing, i.e. permitting non-standard base-pairing at the 3rd anti-codon position. Lineage: Bacteria; Pseudomonadati; Pseudomonadota; Alphaproteobacteria. The record is from RNAcentral.
CGGGACAUAGCGCAGCCUGGUAGCGCAUCAGUCUGGGGGACUGGGGGUCGCAGGUUCAAAUCCUGUUGUCCCGACCA